Molecule: long non-coding RNA, 841 nt
Filed under: Homo sapiens (human)
Lineage: Eukaryota; Metazoa; Chordata; Mammalia; Primates; Hominidae
Description: HSALNT0215827
Source: RNAcentral
CUAAUUAAACCUCAGACCUUGUUUGCAUGUUAAGAGUUAGCAGGACAAUCCUUUGCUACUGGGGACCCGCCACUGACCCCAGGGCUUUCUUGUAUCAAGAGGAACAAAAUGGCAUGAGAUUGGGACCUGGGAGCAGGCCCCACACCAGGUGUGACAUGCCUGUGCUCAGCCAAGGGGUUUAACUGCCUGUGGAGUCUGGGGCCCAGGGCCCUGCUGCCUGUCCAGUGUUUGCGUGGGAAUGUCUUGGGCCUGGGGAUGUAGAGCCCAGGUUCUGGGACCAGCCCUUCCUGCCCUGGUGUCUUGGUUUCCUAGAAUCUUGGUGCGAUUCGGUGGUUAGGCUGAUCUCAGGGUUCCUUUCAGCAGCAGUGGCAGCCGUGACCACCUACUAUGGACCAGCUUCUGCCAGGCACCUUGUAGUCUAGCAGAGUAAGUUUGAUCAUUCCAUUCCACUGACAAGGAAACUCAGGCUCAACAAGGUGAUGCCUUUCCCAGGACAUGUGCUCCUGUUGCCCUGCCCCUCCUGGCAUAAUAUCCCACUUCCUGCUUGGUGGCUCAGGCCUGUCAGUCACACAGCUCGUGGCUUCCCCAUGAAGCAUCUCUUGGGUCUGUCUGUUUCUCUCUUCAUCCACACCUUCCUGGCCCAGGCUACCAUCAUAUCUUGCCAAGACAAGUGCAGCAGCCUCAGAAAUGUUCUCCCCUGCCUCCCCUUCAUGCCCCCAGGCAGCCAGGAUUUUUCUAAAAACUGUGCACCUGGGUGUGUCCCUUGCUGGCCCCAUGGCCUGCAGGGCUCAGGAUCAAGUUCCUCUUCCUUGAUGUGGGUCCUGGGUCCUUGGAGGCUGGU